UGCAUCUGAUGAAGUAAACUGUAGCUCACGAAAGCUUAUGCUGAAAUAAAUUUGUUAGUCUCUAAGGUGCCACAAGUACUCCUUUUUUUUUUAUUGUGCAGUGUAGAUGGAAACACAACUAAGAUCAAACUACAUUAGACCACAGUUAGGUUACUACCAUGCUUAAACACUGUAGAUUUUGUCCAAGGUGAUUGUGUGAUUUGGCAACAAUUAAAAUGUGGCUAGGUCCUGGUCUACAUUGCGAGAUGGAACCUGAUUUUCGUUGAUUUUGUAAGUAGUCGGGACCAAUGUGGGCAGAACCAAAUCAUGUUAUAUCCAUAGUAAGGAACUGUAGUCUGACCCUACCCCUGCCAGUAAACUCUUUACUGUAGAAGCAUCUGGAUUUAAAAUUAAUUCAUUUGCCUGUGGAGGGCGCUUUGUGCGCAUUUGUCACCUUUCAAUCUUCAUCCCAUUUAAUGCUUUGUGUGAGCCCUCUGGGCUCAGAGUAGGGCUCACAAACCCAUCUUCCUGUCUGAGGUGGGAGAAGUGUCACAGAACUGGAAUCCAAGCUAUAGUAGACAUCAAUGUGAGGAAAAAAAGCGGGGGGAAACCCUUCUGGUUUCCGUAUUUCCAAACUUUCUGCUAAUUCAGAAGCACCCUUUUAUGAGACACUUCUGGAGUCUGGGAAAUCCCAAUUUUACACAGCUUCCUGCCUGAUUUCAACUCUGCCUCCUGAGGAAAUGCAGUGGCUUUGACAAUAAAGAACAAUAAAAUGUUCUGUAAGCAAAAAAUGAGAGAUCAUUAUCAGAUUUUGCCCUUGGGCUUUGUUGUUGGUACUGGCUGGUUUUAUGCAAAAGUACACUCUAGAAGAGUGUUUUUCAGAGUAUGGGUCGUGACCCAGUACUGGGCUGUGGAAUGUCAGGCACUGGGUCGCCUUGCUGAUCCAAAUUAUAACCAUCAUUGCUUCACAGUAGCUCUAAAGGGCCACGCAGCAGGGACCCGGAGAGGAGAGAGAGGCCUGAGGAUGGUUACUGACUGCAAUAAAGGAAGCUGGGUUUUGAGACAAUGCUGAUCAUCUUCCUCUUAAAGUCCCCCUGCAGCAGGAACUGAGUAAGCUGCAAAGAGCCAUGUGCACUGAGGUUAAAGCUCAUCUUGCUCUUUUCCUGCCCCAUCUCUGCCACAGCGGACAGUAAGCCAAAAAAACCCCCAAACAAACAAAAAAAAAAGCCAAGUGAAAAAAUAAAGGGAGGGGAAAAAUAUAACCCUCUUUUGCUGAGUUCAGCUGUGGGGCUAGGCCACUAAAAACAUGGGAGGAAUAUGCCCCAUUUUGUAAAACAUUGUGGAGCUGACAUUCUGAAUUUACAAUAGUUAAAAACAAAAAUAAAGAAAACUUAACAAAUCA
Dermochelys coriacea (leatherback sea turtle) is the source of this 1381-nucleotide long non-coding RNA. RefSeq lists it as uncharacterized. The transcript is spliced from 2 exons. NCBI's taxonomy places the organism in Eukaryota, Metazoa, Chordata, Testudines, Dermochelyidae. The record is from RefSeq and is a predicted model, not a curated record.